UGUGCUAAAUACCGCAUAAUCUCUCAGGAGAAAGGCAGGGGAUCGCAAGACCUUGCGCUUUAGGAGCGGCCGAUGCCUGAUUAGCUUGUUGGUAAGGUAAAAGCUUACCAAGGCUUCGAUCAGUAGCUGGUCUGAGAGGACGACCAGCCACACUGGGACUGAGACACGGCCCAGACUCCUACGGGAGGCAGCAGUGGGGAAUUUUGAACAAUGGGGGAAACCCUGAUCCAGCCAUGCCGCGUGAGUGAAGAAGGCCUUCGGGUUGUAAAGCUCUUUCAGCCGGAACGAAACGGU
Molecule: ribosomal RNA, 294 nt
Filed under: uncultured Pseudomonadota bacterium
Lineage: Bacteria; Pseudomonadati; Pseudomonadota
Description: uncultured proteobacterium partial 16S ribosomal RNA
Rfam family: Bacterial small subunit ribosomal RNA
Source: RNAcentral